RNAcentral lists this ribosomal RNA (301 nucleotides) under uncultured bacterium. RNAcentral's name for it is "partial 16S ribosomal RNA". It matches the Rfam family "Bacterial small subunit ribosomal RNA", at positions 509 to 807 of the family's 1533-position model. The record is from RNAcentral.
CAGUCGCCACGGUAAUACGGAGGGAGCUAGCGUUGUUCGGAAUUACUGGGCGUAAAGCGCACGUAGGCGGCUUUGUAAGUUAGAGGUGAAAGCCUGGGGCUCAACUCCAGAAUUGCCUUUAAGACUGCAUCGCUUGAAUCCAGGAGAGGUGAGUGGAAUUCCGAGUGUAGAGGUGAAAUUCGUAGAUAUUCGGAAGAACACCAGUGGCGAAGGCGGCUCACUGGACUGGUAUUGACGCUGAGGUGCGAAAGCGUGGGGAGCAAACAGGAUUAGAUACCCCAGUAGUCCCUGUCUCUUAUAC